RNAcentral lists this ribosomal RNA (484 nucleotides) under uncultured bacterium. RNAcentral describes it as "partial 16S ribosomal RNA". It matches the Rfam family "Bacterial small subunit ribosomal RNA", at positions 30 to 507 of the family's 1533-position model. The record is from RNAcentral.
AUUGAACGCUGGCGGCAGGCCUAACACAUGCAAGUCGAGCGGAUGAAGGGAGCUUGCUCCUGGAUUCAGCGGCGGACGGGUGAGUAAUGCCUAGGAAUCUGCCUGGUAGUGGGGGAUAACGUCCGGAAACGGGCGCUAAUACCGCAUACGUCCAGAGGGAGAAAGUGGGGGAUCUUCGGACCUCACGCUAUCAGAUGAGCCUAGGUCGGAUUAGCUAGUUGGUGGGGUAAAGGCCUACCAAGGCGACGAUCCGUAACUGGUCUGAGAGGAUGAUCAGUCACACUGGAACUGAGACACGGUCCAGACUCCUACGGGAGGCAGCAGUGGGGAAUAUUGGGCAAUGGGCGAAAGCCUGAUCCAGCCAUGCCGCGUGUGUGAAGAAGGUCUUCGGAUUGUAAAGCACUUUAAGUUGGGAGGAAGGGCAGUAAGUUAAUACCUUGCUGUUUUGACGUUACCAACAGAAUAAGCACCGGCUAACUUCGUG